ACACAUGCAGUCGACGGUAACAGGAAGCAGCUUGCUGCUUCGCUGACGAGUGGCGGACGGGUGAGUAAUGUCUGGGAAACUGCCUGAUGGAGGGGGAUAACUACUGGAAACGGUAGCUAAUACCGCAUAACGUCGCAAGACCAAAGAGGGGGACCCUCGGGCCUCUUGCCAUCGGAUGUGCCCAGAUGGGAUUAGCUAGUGGGUGGGGUAACGGCUCACCUAGGCGACGAUCCCUAGCUGGUCUGAGAGGAUGACCAGCCACACUGGAACUGAGACACGGUCCAGACUCCUACGGGAGGCAGCAGUGGGGAAUAUUGCACAAUGGGCGCAAGCCUGAUGCAGCCAUGCCGCGUGUAUGAAGAAGGCCUUCGGGUUGUAAAGUACUUUCAGCGGGGAGGAAGGCGGUGAGGUUAAUAACCUUGUCGAUUGACGUUACCCCCAGAAGAAGCACCGGCUAACUCCGUGCCAGCAGCCGCGGUAAUACGGAGGGUGCAAGCGUUAAUCGGAAUUACUGGGCGUAAAGCGCACGCAGGCGGUCUGUCAAGUCGGAUGUGAAAUCCCCGGGCUCAACCUGGGAACUGCAUUCGAAACUGGCAGGCUAGAGUCUUGUAGAGGGGGGUAGAAUUCCAGGUGUAGCGGUGAAAUGCGUAGAGAUCUGGAGGAAUACCGGUGGCGAAAGCGGCCCCCUGGACAAAGACUGACGCUCAUGUGCGAAAGCGUGGGGGAGCAAACAGGAUUAGAUACCCUGUAGUCCACGCCGUAA
Molecule: ribosomal RNA, 763 nt
Filed under: uncultured bacterium
Lineage: Bacteria
Description: bacterial SSU rRNA
Rfam family: Bacterial small subunit ribosomal RNA
Source: RNAcentral